Non-coding RNA from Lipotes vexillifer (Yangtze River dolphin), 72 nucleotides. Lineage: Eukaryota; Metazoa; Chordata; Mammalia; Artiodactyla; Lipotidae. The record is from the annotation of a RefSeq genome assembly.
UCCCUGGUGGCCCAGUGGUUAGGAUUUGGCGCUUUCACAGUGGAGGCCCAGGUUCGAUCCCUGGCCAGGGAA